Molecule: unclassified non-coding RNA, 329 nt
Filed under: soil metagenome
Description: partial contains 5.8S ribosomal RNA, internal transcribed spacer 2, and large subunit ribosomal RNA
Rfam family: 5.8S ribosomal RNA (bases 1-120)
Source: RNAcentral
GAUGAAGAACGCAGCGAAAUGCGAUAAGUAGUGUGAAUUGCAGAAUUCAGUGAAUCAUCGAAUCUUUGAACGCACAUUGCGCCCCUUGGUAUCCCGAGGGGCAUGCCUGUUCGAGCGUCAUUUCACCACUCAAGCCUGGCUUGGUGUUGGGCGACGUCCUCUUUGGGGACGCGCCUCGAAACGCUCGGCGGCGUGGCACCGGCUUUAAGCGUAGCAGAAUCUUUCGCUUUGGAAGUCGGGGCCCCGUCUGCCGGAAGACCUGCUCGCAAGGUUGACCUCGGAUCAGGCAGGGAUACCCGCUGAACUUAAGCACAUCAAUAAGCGGAGGA